This 1391-nucleotide ribosomal RNA is filed under the name Sphingobacteriales bacterium. RNAcentral's name for it is "bacterial SSU rRNA". It matches the Rfam family "Bacterial small subunit ribosomal RNA". The record is from RNAcentral. Lineage: Bacteria; Pseudomonadati; Bacteroidota; Sphingobacteriia; Sphingobacteriales.
ACAAUGGAGAGUUUGAUCCUGGCUCAGGAUGAACGCUAGCGGCAGGCUUAAUACAUGCAAGUCGAGGGGCAGCAUGGUGUAGCAAUACACUGAUGGCGACCGGCAAACGGGUGCGGAACACGUACAGAACCUUCCUUCGAGCGGGGAAUAGCCCAGAGAAAUUUGGAUUAAUACCCCAUAGUAUAACGGAGUGGCAUCACUUUGUUAUUAAAGAUUUAUCACUUGAAGAUGGCUGUGCGGCUGAUUAGGUAGUUGGCGGGGUAACGGCCCACCAAGCCUGCGAUCAGUAACUGGUGUGAGAGCACGACCAGUCACACGGGCACUGAGACACGGGCCCGACUCCUACGGGAGGCAGCAGUAAGGAAUAAUGAAUAAGCACCGGCUAACUCCGUGCCAGCAGCCGCGGUAAUACGGAGGGUGCAAGCGUUAUCCGGAUUCACUGGGUUUAAAGGGUGCGUAGGUGGGUUGGUAAGUCAGUGGUGAAAUCUUCGAGCUUAACUCGGAAACUGCCAUUGAUACUAUCAGUCUUGAAUAUUGUGGAGGUUAGCGGAAUAUGUCAUGUAGCGGUGAAAUGCUUAGAUAUGACAUAGAACACCAAUUGCGAAGGCAGCUGGCUACACAUAUAUUGACACUGAGGCACGAAAGCGUGGGGAUCAAACAGGAUUAGAUACCCUGGUAGUCCACGCCCUAAACUAUGGAUACUCGACAUACGCGAUACACUGUGUGUGUCUGAGCGAAAGCAUUAAGUAUCCCACCUGGGAAGUACGAUCGCAAGAUUGAAACUCAAAGGAAUUGGCGGGGGUCCGCACAAGCGGUGGAGCAUGUGGUUUAAUUCGAUGAUACGCGAGGAACCUUACCUGGGCUAGAAUGCUGGGAGACCGUGGGUGAAAGCUCACUUUGUAGCAAUACACUGCCAGUAAGGUGCUGCAUGGCUGUCGUCAGCUCGUGCCGUGAGGUGUUGGGUUAAGUCCCGCAACGAGCGCAACCCCCAUCACUAGUUGCCAUCAGGUAACGCUGGGAACUCUAGUGAAACUGCCGUCGUAAGACGUGAGGAAGGAGGGGAUGAUGUCAAGUCAUCAUGGCCUUUAUGCCCAGGGCUACACACGUGCUACAAUGGGGAGGACAAAGAGCUGCCACUUAGUGAUAAGGAGCUAAUCUCAAAAACCUCUUCUCAGUUCAGAUUGGAGUCUGCAACUCGACUCCAUGAAGCUGGAAUCGCUAGUAAUCGUAUAUCAGCAAUGAUACGGUGAAUACGUUCCCGGACCUUGCACACACCGCCCGUCAAGCCAUGGAAGCUGGGUGUACCUAAAGUCGGUAACCGCAAGGAGCCGCCUAGGGUAAAACUAGUGACUGGGGCUAAGUCGUAACAAGGUAGCCGUAUCGGAAGGUGC